This 345-nucleotide transfer-messenger RNA is filed under the name Mycoplasmatota bacterium. Its description in RNAcentral is "Tenericutes bacterium (anaerobic digester metagenome) transfer-messenger RNA". It matches the Rfam family "transfer-messenger RNA". From Rfam's summary of the family: Bacterial tmRNA, also known as 10Sa RNA or SsrA, is named for its dual tRNA and mRNA-like properties. Its role is to liberate the mRNA from a stalled ribosome. Lineage: Bacteria; Bacillati; Mycoplasmatota. The record is from RNAcentral.
GGGGGCGAUUGGCUUCGACGGGAAUACGAGAGCAUAAACUGCAAGUCGUAGGCGUACGUAAAACGCAUCCGAAAAAUAAUCGGAAACGAAUUUGCAUUAGCUACUGCUUAAGCUAAGCGGUAGACCUUCUAUAUUCUGGCUCCCACCUGGAAUAUAAAAGGUUCAUGAAUGUGGGAUAGUUACUAGUUUUGUCUAGGAACUAGUAACAAAAUUUUUACUAGACUCGCUACUUAGAUGCUUGUUAGUUGGCUUACUAAGUAGUUAAAUUAUUCAACUAACUAAACUUGUAGAUGUUUAUGUAUUUUCUAUUUUUGGACGUGGGUUCGAAUCCCACCGCCUCCACCA